AGCAGUCGCCGCGGGAACACGGAGGAUCCAAGCGUUAUCCGGAAUCAUUGGGUUUAAAGGGUCCGUAGGCGGUCUUGUAAGUCAGUGGUGAAAGCCCAUCGCUCAACGGUGGAACGGCCAUUGAUACUGCAGGACUUGAAUUAUUGGGAAGUAACUAGAAUAUGUAGUGUAGCGGUGAAAUGCUUAGAGAUUACAUGGAAUACCAAUUGCGAAGGCAGGUUACUACCAAUUGAUUGACGCUGAUGGACGAAAGCGUGGGUAGCGAACAGGAUUAGAUACCCCUGUAGUCCCUGUCUCUUAUAC
RNAcentral lists this ribosomal RNA (303 nucleotides) under uncultured bacterium. Its description in RNAcentral is "partial 16S ribosomal RNA". It matches the Rfam family "Bacterial small subunit ribosomal RNA", at positions 507 to 807 of the family's 1533-position model. The record is from RNAcentral.